Lathyrus oleraceus (garden pea) is the source of this 1593-nucleotide long non-coding RNA. RefSeq lists it as uncharacterized. The record is from RefSeq and is a predicted model, not a curated record. Lineage: Eukaryota; Viridiplantae; Streptophyta; Magnoliopsida; Fabales; Fabaceae. The transcript is spliced from 3 exons.
UGAGUAAGAUGGUCCAUAUGUUGUUUCUUAUCCAUAUUUCCUUGUUGCUAUAAACUAAACCAGUGGUAUUGAUUGUAGGUCCAGAAAGACACACCCAUGGUUUUUUCACAGUGCGAAGAACUUCAGUUAGUGUCUUUUCUGUGAACUUAAAACCUGCACUGGCAUCAGUCGGAACUGUCACUGUGUCAGUUUUCAAAAUGUAGCAGAAGAAACAUAGUUCCCAUUUGAUCCUGGAAGGCUGAAUAGCUCAAAGUGAUCUGAUAUGUCCAAGAAAAGAUGAGAUUCAACAUCUCGUGCUGUACAAAAUCUGAACUAGUAACAACCUCAAAAAAUAGCAAUUCCAGCCACAACCACUUGAGGCUUUAAUUUCUUUAUUAGUUCUAUCAACAAAUCUGAUUGCCGAGGGGCUUCAAUUGAUGUUAUGGACAAGGAUGUUAUUUCUCGGAAUUUCGUCAUAGCAGCAUGCACACGCAAUGGUAACGUUGAACUUGGUUUUAUUUUGUACCGUAGUAAAUUGUUGGACUUACCGGUUUUGUUGCCGCAUUUGCAGGUUUUGAGGAUGGAUUCAAGUUGCAGCCAAAUAAUGGAUUGGUACGAAAUCCUCUACAGGCCAUUCACUUAUAUCUUGUUGCGGACUAUGGUUGCUUAGCAAAAGCUUUGAUGAUGGUGUCAGCAAACCUGUUGAGGAUAUUGACUGGGAUGCUCUUACUGUAAAGGGUACCUGCCAGGAAAUUGAGAAGCGAUACCUGCGCCUAACACCGGCACCAGAUCCCGCCACCAUUGUCAUCAUCAUACUCAUCAUUUGUCAAAUUAUGGUGACGAGCCAUCAGUACUACUCUUCUUAUUGCAUACAAGUCCUCCAUCCGUAAGCCUGACUGCACAGAAACGAAGGAGUGCGAUUGCAUUAAGGCUCACAUCACUAUUGAACCGGUCAUUUGUAACUGUCAAAAGGCAUCCAGCACAAUCAGUGAAGGUCGUCAUUUCUGCGGUUGUUGUCCAUCCUGAGAGAACCAUUCCAUCAGGUUCUUUCUCUUCAUCAAAUUCCUCUCUUUUCAAGAUUGGCAUCAUAAAUUGCAACCAUCUGUACUUCUCUUCUGCAGUCUACCUGAGGCGCAAGUGUAGGUACUCGGCUUCUUCACCACACGUUUCCACUCAUCAAAUGUCUGGUUCACAUACAUUUGUUGUUCAACAUGAUUCUGUACACGCGAAGGCAUUAAGAAGACCAUGAUUCCAAAGUUUGAUCAUGAAUAAUGUCCAACACCAAUGUAGAGCUCGGGAUGAGAUCAACUCUUCUGCAUGAUGCUUCGAAAAUGCCUCACAAGCCCACGGCAUAUGACCAUCAGCCAGUACCCCUUGUUAUUUUUGGCGGUUGCAGUCUUGCCUUGAGCUGCGUUACCGUCGUUUGCCACUUUGCAGCUUGGCUCAUACGCGCUAGAGUUUCUCGUGUAAUAGCUUUUGGAAGUGUGGCUUAUGCAGGUGGCUUUUGUCUCAUUGUGCUGCAGUGGGGUGUGCCGCAGCUUACAGCUGUCGUUGGAAUGUGAAGUUGGUUUGGCAUCUUGUAGCUGUUUCCUUGGCAGCUAGGCUUGGUGUAGU